RNAcentral lists this transfer RNA (73 nucleotides) under Caudoviricetes sp. RNAcentral describes it as "tRNA-Pro". It matches the Rfam family "tRNA". Rfam says of the family: Transfer RNA (tRNA) molecules are approximately 80 nucleotides in length. Their secondary structure includes four short double-helical elements and three loops (D, anti-codon, and T loops). Lineage: Duplodnaviria; Heunggongvirae; Uroviricota; Caudoviricetes. The record is from RNAcentral.
CUGGGUAUAAUUCAGUAGGUAGAAUGCUAGGUUUGGGACCUAGAUGUCGUGUGUUCGAGCCACACUACCCAGA